RNAcentral lists this small nucleolar RNA (247 nucleotides) under Amazona collaria (yellow-billed parrot). RNAcentral describes it as "Small nucleolar RNA SNORD17 (ENSACOG00000017193.1)". It matches the Rfam family "Small nucleolar RNA SNORD17". Rfam says of the family: The snoRNA HBI-43 belongs to the C/D family of snoRNAs, guiding 2'O-ribose methylation at position U3797 of the 28S rRNA. Pseudouridylation in position U3797 is predicted to be guided by the H/ACA snoRNA ACA48. The record is from Rfam by way of RNAcentral. Lineage: Eukaryota; Metazoa; Chordata; Aves; Psittaciformes; Psittacidae.
GUGAGGUGAUGAUGAAGUUUAUCCAUUCUCUGAGUGCAGUGGUGCUGCCCUCCUGCAGCACCCCGAUUCCUGUUCUAGGGUCUGGGUGCUGUGCAGCCUCCAGAGACCCUUUGGUCUGCCAGUGUCCUACUGGGGGCUGUUGUGGUGUGUGGCUGGCUGCCUGCAGGAGUGAAGUGGUGCUGGCAUGGUUGGAGCCCCUCUCUGGGGGGCUCUGUCCUCACUGAGAUGAAGGACGAUGUCUGAUCAC